UUGAACGCUGGCGGCAUGCCUUACACAUGCAAGUCGAACGGCAGCACGGGAGCAAUCCUGGUGGCGAGUGGCGAACGGGUGAGUAAUACAUCGGAACGUGCCCAGUAGUGGGGGAUAACCCGGCGAAAGCCGGACUAAUACCGCAUACGACCUACGGGUGAAAGCGGGGGAUCGCAAGACCUCGCGCUAUCGGAGCGGCCGAUGUCAGAUUAGCUAGUUGGUGGGGUAAAGGCCUACCAAGGCGACGAUCUGUAGCUGGUCUGAGAGGACGACCAGCCACACUGGGACUGAGACACGGCCCAGACUCCUACGGGAGGCAGCAGUGGGGAAUUUUGGACAAUGGGCGCAAGCCUGAUCCAGCCAUGCCGCGUGCGGGAAGAAGGCCUUUGGGUUGUAAACCGCUUUUGUCAGGGAAGAAACGCUCCGGGCUAAUACCACGGAGUAAUGACGGUACCUGAAGAAUAAGCACCGGCUAACUACGUG
Molecule: ribosomal RNA, 483 nt
Filed under: uncultured bacterium
Lineage: Bacteria
Description: partial 16S ribosomal RNA
Rfam family: Bacterial small subunit ribosomal RNA
Source: RNAcentral